This 3416-nucleotide unclassified non-coding RNA is filed under the name Daphnia magna. RNAcentral's name for it is "uncharacterized LOC116930010, transcript variant X1". The record is from RNAcentral. Lineage: Eukaryota; Metazoa; Arthropoda; Branchiopoda; Diplostraca; Daphniidae.
CCGACUUUGAGGAUGGGUGGGUGCAUGCGUGCGUUGGAUAUGUUACGAUAUUUUAAGAACAAAAAGAAGAGUGCCACGCUUAUUUAACUAGGCCAUGCCAAUUAGGGAUCAGAAACGAUUGAAUCCCGAUUUUUAGUAUGAUGCAUGUGUUCGGCGUCACUCCAUGGCUUGUUGGUGAAAACUUCGUAAUUGGUGUCCAGGAGCUUCCUUCUGCAGGCAUGAUGUCAAUCGUUGCCUGCCAACGGCAUGCGGCAGUGGGAGCUAAGGAAAUGGUUGGUUUGUGUAGAACAGAGCUUCUUAAAGUUUUGCCACGAAGAGAAGCAAUGAGGGAUUCAGAAAAAGGAGAAGUAGCAGCACGAUUUCAAAAUCAAUGGAUGCUGAACAAAUUAGUCAAAGACAUAAAAACCAGGGCACAGGAAUCAGUACCUAACAAAUGUUGUGUUGCAAAGUUAGCAUUCUGCAGAGAAACGUAAUGUUGAUUAAACAGAAGAUGCUCUGUGUAGGUGAUGGAGCCAGAAAAGAAAAAUUUGCUAUUUGGAAUAAUUGGGAACAGAGAAAAACAGAGUAUCCUGAGGUGGCAUUUGAAAAUUGGAACUCAUUGUGACCCAGAAUUGUAGUCUCUGAUAGAAACUUUUUUUUUUCCUGCUUCGAUUCGUCCACAUAGUUGGUUUCAAUCCACGUAUCACCCUCAGAUGUCCGAGUCUAGUUCGAAGGAUUAGAAAAGAAUGUCUGCCAAACACAGUUUAAUCCUCUGGAUAUUUUGAAGGGAGACCUAGCUGUGUCUUAAACAGUGCAUACAAGGAAACAGGAUGCUGGGAAAGAUAGAAACAUUCGGUCAACAAGUGAAUUGCUAUCAAGUGAAAAUCCAUUUUGAGGCCUGGCGAUAUGAAUGCCCUGCAACUCUGAUCGAGGUGGAGUGUUAUAUGCUGUGUGUUUGGAAAAGUAGGAACCACCUUUUCGUCCUAGCAUCGUAGAAUUUAGCUUCCACCUCAGUAAUCCAAUGGACGACAAAAGAUGUUGUCGGUUAGAUCCGCAUUCUCUUCAAAGCUGGGGCAUGGCGGCGUUAGAUACCAAGUGACGGGCCAUGCAUUAUUAUGCAUGGCAUUGAACUAUUUCUACCUCACCGUGGCAUCACAAUUUCUAAGUUUGCAGUAAGUAAUUGUUCCAACCAGUUCAGACCAGUGCAGCAAUCUGUUAUUGGCAUCCUGGCCGAUUAUCUUUUUCUGCAUUUCUUGGUAGCAAAAGAUAAAAUCAAUAUUUGAAAAAGAAAAUAAAGAUAAAGGAAGGCCAAUAACAAAAUUAAAUCUGUGGCUGAUAAAGGUAGUAUUUUCGUCAAGUGUCGUACGAUACAAUCCCAAAAAAUGGACAUAGCGUGUUUUUUGGGAGCUGUACAAGGCUGCAGAUUUCAUAUUUACAGGGAUUGGUAUACAUGACAACUUUUUACAGGACACCAGCAGCUUUCAAAUCAGCGAGCAUUUUGACAACAUGUUCAGGCAUCGGAGGAGGAGUGGGCAGAAUGAUCACCUGUGGCCUGAAAUCCGUUUUCGUCAGCAACCCAAUUGAUGGUAAGGACAACGCCGUCCGGAGAAGUGUACGAGUAAGAUCCUUUAGAAACGGUGCCAAUAUCUUCAGGUUUUGGUCCCACUUGCUUUUGGCUGCCGCUCUCGGAAACUUUGGUUCCGUCAGCACUCUCAAAGCUUUUGCAGUGUAAAGUGGUAUGUCAGAAUUAAAAUAUCAUAAUAACAUAGUUAUCAAAUAAGAAGUAUAUUGACUUACGCGAAAGAAUAGCUGCCAUCGGCGUUCAUUUCACUGUUGGAGGAGAUAAUUUCGAUCGGUUUCUUAUCUUCUUGAGGUGCGGCAAGGGCCAUAGCCAAGAAAGUGAGAGCGACGAUCUGACACAGCCAAGAAAAGUCGCAUGAGGAUGAUAUGGCAAGACCUUAUGGAAACAUUCUCUUCUUCACCUGGAGGCAGGGCAACACAUGCAAAUUAGCGAAAGGCUAGCACGUUACAACUAGAAUUCAACCUCCAUUAAGAAAGUAUUAUCUACCCAUAAAGAAAAAGAUGAGAGACCUUCAGAAAAGAAAUUUUGCCAUUGAAAUUCUUAACAUACUUUCUAAUUGGGAAACGGGCGACUUUCGCACGAUCAUUCAUGAUCGUCACUCAUAUCAUCCCAGAAUCUGCGGAAGACUUCCAAUCGUCUGAGAACUAUCUCAUCGACUUCAUGGUUUUAUGACUAGGAUUUUAACCGUUUUUCCCCGUUGCUUUGUCAUAGAUGAUUUCGUGAUUUUCCCGAGUGAAUAUCAAACAAUCGACUCCGAAGAAAUUCCAACAAAGCAAGGGUCAUAACAUGGAGAAACGCGAGCAGCAGUGUAACGAUUACAUCCGGCGCACGGUCAGACGUGAUAAGAUCGUGCUCAUGCUGGUAAGCAGUGGAGUCGAUUCCGCCGUUUGUACUGCACUUCUACAGGGUGACGACUCGUCGCGAGUGCUGGUGGCCAGUGAAGACUCAUCAUAACGAUUCUGAAAUUGUUCGUCAGUUGCGCUUUCACGGCCGUGUAGUAGAACCUCUAGAAGACUUCCAUAAAGAUGAAGUAAGAGCCCUAGGUCACGAACCGAGUCCGCCUGCAGAAUUACUGGAACGUCACCCGUUUCCUGGUCCAGGUUUGUCAAUUCGAGUCAUUUACGCCGAAGAACCGUUCUUCGAAGCUGAUUUCGAUGAGACGCAAGUGCUGAUUCGUUUGAUGGUUUAUUAUGCCAAGGAACAUGCCUUGCUCAAUCGGAUUGAAAUCGUGACGUCGGAAGAAGAGCGCUUCUUCUAGAAGAACUGUCCAGUCACAACCAGUAUGUUGCCACGCUGCUGCCUAUUCGCACUGUCGGUGUUCAGGUACAGGAGGUUGCAGAAAAAUGUGUUGGGUAUGGCAAACAAAGCAUAGGGGAAACCGCCACAUUUUUCUGCAAUAUAUUGUACAACAGAUUCGCAAUUUAGACGUUUUCGUAAUAAUGCCGAGAUCGUAAUCAGCUCUUAUUCAAGGGAGACAAUAGGUGCCACCGUACCUACGCCAAGGUAUUUUUUUUUUCUUUUGUCUCGACAUUUUAAUGGCCAGGGGUAUGUCCUUGACGCUCGUCUUAUCGAAACGGCAUUUCAUGUCAAUCUGCGAACGUUUGACAACUCAAUAGUAUUGCAAUAGGUUAAUAGUUUUGUUUCAAGUAAAAUUGCAAUGUGUCGAAUGCCUUAUUUCGUUUACAUCGACUCUACUUCAAUAAUUUACAAUUGGAAAAAGGUUGCUUUUAAGCGACAAGAAGGUAUUGGGUGUGUCUAUGCACGAACUAUGGUUUAAUGGGUGAGCAUCGGAUUGUAGCGCUGGAUGUUUGUGCAUAAAAUCGCAUCAGAGGUAAAAGUACACAAUGUGUUUGCU